RNAcentral lists this ribosomal RNA (261 nucleotides) under uncultured archaeon. RNAcentral's name for it is "partial 16S ribosomal RNA". It matches the Rfam family "Archaeal small subunit ribosomal RNA", at positions 748 to 1008 of the family's 1478-position model. The record is from RNAcentral.
UAGCCGUAAACGAUACUCGCUAGGUGUCGGCCACGGUGCGACCGUUGUCGGUGCCGUAGGGAAGCCGUGAAGCGAGCCACCUGGGAAGUACGGCCGCAAGGCUGAAACUUAAAGGAAUUGGCGGGGGAGCACCACAACGGGUGGAGCUUGCGGUUUAAUUGGAUUCAACGCCGGAAAUCUUACCGGGACCGACAGCAACAUGAAGGCCAGGCUGAAGACUUUGCCGGAUUAGCUGAGAGGUGGUGCAUGGCGUCAGUGACU